RNAcentral lists this ribosomal RNA (476 nucleotides) under uncultured bacterium. Its description in RNAcentral is "SSU rRNA". It matches the Rfam family "Bacterial small subunit ribosomal RNA", at positions 26 to 518 of the family's 1533-position model. The record is from RNAcentral.
AGGACGAACGCUGGCGGCGUGCUUAACACAUGCAAGUCGAGCGGAAAGGCCCUUCGGGGUACUCGAGCGGCGAACGGGUGAGUAACACGUGAGUAACCUGCCCCUAGCUCUGGGAUAGCUCCGGGAAACCGGGAUUAAAUACCAGAUACGACCACUUUAGACAUCUGUCGUGGUGGAAAGGAUUCCGGCUAGGGAUGGGCUCGCGGCCUAUCAGCUUGUUGGUGGGGUAACGGCCUACCAAGGCGACGACGGGUAGCCGGCCUGAGAGGGCGACCGGCCACACUGGGACUGAGACACGGCCCAGACUCCUACCGGGAGGCAGCAGUGGGGAAUAUUGCGCAAUGGGCGAAAGCCUGACGCAGCGACGCCGCGUGGGGGAUGAAGGCCUUCGGGUUGUAAACCCCUUUCAGCAGGGACGAAGCGAAAGUGACGGUACCUGCAGAAGAAGCGCCGGCUAACUACGCGCCAGCAGCCGC